Molecule: ribosomal RNA, 232 nt
Filed under: uncultured bacterium
Lineage: Bacteria
Description: partial 16S ribosomal RNA
Rfam family: Bacterial small subunit ribosomal RNA
Source: RNAcentral
ACCGGAUGCGGAUCUCGAAAGCCUGUCCCAGUUCGGACUGGAGUCUGCAACCCGACUCCACGAAGUUGGAUUCGCUAGUAAUCGCGCAUCAGCCAUGGCGCGGUGAAUACGUUCCCGGGCCUUGUACACACCGCCCGUCAAGCCAUGGGAGCCGGGGGCGCCUGAAGUUCGUGACCGCAAGGAGCGACCUAGGGCAAAACUGGUGACUGGGGCUAAGUCGUAACAAGGUACC